UACGAAGGGGGCUAGCGUUGUUCGGAAUUACUGGGCGUAAAGCGCACGUAGGCGGAUAUUUAAGUCAGGGUGAAAUCCCAGAGCUCAACUCUGGAACUGCCUUUGAUACUGGGUAUCUUGAGUAUGGAAGAGGUAAGUGGAAUUGCGAGUGUAGAGGUGAAAUUCGUAGAUAUUCGCAGGAACACCAGUGGCGAAGGCGGCUCACUGGCCCGAUACUGACGCUGAGGUGCGAAAGCGUGGGUAGCAAACGGGAUUAAGAUAACCCG
RNAcentral lists this ribosomal RNA (266 nucleotides) under uncultured bacterium. RNAcentral's name for it is "partial 16S ribosomal RNA". It matches the Rfam family "Bacterial small subunit ribosomal RNA", at positions 524 to 789 of the family's 1533-position model. The record is from RNAcentral.